UACGGAGGGGGCUAGCGUUGUUCGGAAUUACUGGGCGUAAAGCGCGCGUAGGCGGACCUGCAAGUCGGGGGUGAAAGCCCGAGGCUCAACCUCGGAACUGCCUUCGAUACUGCGGGUCUCGAGUCCGGGAGAGGUGAGUGGAAUUCCUAGUGUAGAGGUGAAAUUCGUAGAUAUUAGGAAGAACACCAGUGGCGAAGGCGGAUCUCUGGGCCAUUACUGACGCUGAGGAGCGAAAGUGUGGGGAGCGAACAGG
RNAcentral lists this ribosomal RNA (253 nucleotides) under uncultured bacterium. RNAcentral describes it as "partial 16S ribosomal RNA". It matches the Rfam family "Bacterial small subunit ribosomal RNA", at positions 524 to 776 of the family's 1533-position model. The record is from RNAcentral.